This is a non-coding RNA of Schistosoma mattheei, 44 nucleotides long. NCBI's taxonomy places the organism in Eukaryota, Metazoa, Platyhelminthes, Trematoda, Strigeidida, Schistosomatidae. The record is from Rfam.
UCCGGCUGACGCGUCCCAAAUAGGACGAAACGCGAGUCCUGGAU